RNAcentral lists this ribosomal RNA (237 nucleotides) under uncultured bacterium. Its description in RNAcentral is "partial 16S ribosomal RNA". It matches the Rfam family "Bacterial small subunit ribosomal RNA", at positions 118 to 347 of the family's 1533-position model. The record is from RNAcentral.
UGAGUAACCUGCCCUCGGCACCGGAAUAGCCCGGGGAAACUCGGAUUAAUGCCGGAUAGCCCCUCCGCCUUACGGGGUGGCGGGAAAAGGUAGCUUCGGCCUCUGGCCGAGGAUGGGCUCGCGGCGGAUUAGCUUGUUGGCGGGUAACGGCCCACCAAGGCGACGAUCCGUAGCUGGUCUGAGAGGACGAUCAGCCACACUGGGACUGAGACACGGCCCAGACUCCUACGGGAGCAG